Molecule: long non-coding RNA, 231 nt
Filed under: Elaeis guineensis (African oil palm)
Lineage: Eukaryota; Viridiplantae; Streptophyta; Magnoliopsida; Arecales; Arecaceae
Description: long non-coding RNA (EGUI_LNC044002)
Source: RNAcentral
CGAAAGGUGUUCGCAUGUAUAUCCGAAGGUCUUCUUCUACAACAAUCAAAGAAGGAGAUCAGAUCUAAACCUAAAGAAGUGAGAUCUACAAGAGAGCUAGCACCUCAAUAGUCUCAGGUGCUUCGAUCUGCUUUAGCCCUAUAUGGAUAUCCGUAGAGGUUGAACGUGUAUGCGGCUUUGACAAGAACCUGUAGACAUCCUUAAAUUCGAUCUGAAGGAGUCUAGCACUUC